Molecule: ribosomal RNA, 371 nt
Filed under: uncultured Hyphomicrobiales bacterium
Lineage: Bacteria; Pseudomonadati; Pseudomonadota; Alphaproteobacteria; Hyphomicrobiales
Description: bacterial SSU rRNA
Rfam family: Bacterial small subunit ribosomal RNA
Source: RNAcentral
CAUGCAAGUCGAACGCACCCUUCGGGGUGAGUGUGGACGGGUGAGUAACACGUGGAACUCUACCCAUCCCUACGGAAUAGCUCCGGGAAACUGGAAUUAAUGCCGUAUACGCCCUUUUGGGGAAAGAUUUAUCGGGGAUGGAUGACCCCGCGGUGGAUUACCUAGUUGGGGGGGUAAAGGCCAACCAAUGCUUGGAUGCAUAACUGGCCUGAGAGGAUGAUAUCCCACACUGGGACUGAAACACGAUCCCCACUCCUACAGGAGGCAGCAGUGGGGACUCCGGACAAUGGGCCAAGCCUGAUCCUGGAUGCCGCGUGAGUGAUUGAGGCCCUAUGGAUGUAAAGCUCAUUCAGCGGUGCAGAUUAUGACGG